ACAGACCAGAGCGCAUGCAAGCUACAGCGACAAUGGAGGCCUACAUGGACGAGAGAUUGUGUGAAGAAGUUAGAAAGUAUACAAGAAUACAAAGAUUUUUACAUGGGUUGUAAGUUAUGGCGAGAGAUUGCUCAAAACUGCGCAUGCGUCGAACGCCUGUGUAUGCGUACGAGUCAAAUGAAGUAUAUUCUUCAUACUUCAAGUAUAUACUUUCCAAGGCUGUGCGCGUACACGUAAAAAAGCAGUAUACCCAGGCCUUGAGUGUCAUGUUAGUUGUCAUAACAAGCAAGAAAAGUUGUCAUGGAGCAGCUAAACCUGAACCUCCGGGGAAUCACCCGUUUAAAAAAAAUGCAGAACAGAGGCAACGACAGAGCUCGUAACUGGCUUGGCUUUUCGGUGAUGGCGAGGAACUGCAGGAUUUGAAAUGUUGUAAAAGUGACGUGGAGAUGGCGUUUUAUUACUCAACAGCAAUGAUGAAUAAUCUGAGAGUGACAUUACUGUCCUGUGGUGGAAUCCAUCAGGAGGACUAGCAUUUGACCCCAUCUGACCUUCACUUCCUCCAGCUCCAUCUGCCCAGAGGUCAGCAGUGCAUGAUCGCACAUGAGAGAAAAAUCAAGUGAGAGACUGGAGGCCAGAGAAACUUUACACUGCUGUUGUGAGACUGUUAUCAGUGCUCAUGUCGGCAGGAACUGCAUCUAAACCCUGCUGUAAGACUUCAAUAUAAAUCUACUACAACAUGAAGUUCUCCACAUGAGAUCCGACACAUUUACAUCUACAUUAUUGAGUCAUCUAGCAAACGCUUUUAUCCAAAGUGACUUGCAAAUGAUGAACAUCACAAGCAAAUCAAAGACCUAGAUCCAGAUGUCCUUUGCUUUCAGCCCAGUCUGUCUGCCAGCGGAGGCAAGAGAGCCGUCCUGGCAAGAAGAGACUGACAGAUGAAAGAGAACGAAUAGAGACAGAGAGUAAUGAAGCAAGGGGGAAAGAGGAGAAGAGAGAGGUAUGAAGAUAGAUGUAUAUACAGAGUGAGAGAGUAAGGAGAGAUUUUUUUUCUUUUUUCCCUGAUGUCUUUAUUGGCAGUUCACCCUGGGAGCUCUUCAUUGCUACUUGAGUCUAGAGAGACAAGAGCAAAUGUGCUACAUGUCCAUUUCUUCAUCCUCUCUCUCUUACACUCUGCCAAACUGUUCCGUUUCAUUUCAGUUUUCCCUUGCACCUGUGUGGAGAUGUAAGGUGACCAGAUUUCUGAAAUAAAAACCAGGGACAUUUCUAGUUCAGUGGUCAAUAUAUUAGUGAAAUUAUGAAUGUAGUUAUCUGUGAAUUAAAAAGAGGUGCAUCUGUUAAACUAUGGCAUAUCAUAUCUGUCAUCUGCGCACUGACUUACUACACUGAAUUAAUGUCACUAAAAUAAAUCGAUAAUAACAUGCAGCGUCAAAAUAUUUGCGUAUAUUGCACACAUCUAAUGCAAUAAAGAAAAAACAAAACAUAACUUUUGAGAUGUUAUGUGGCAAUAUGUAUAACAGACUCUUCUGUACUACAGUUUAAAUGUUUGGGGUCGAUAAGAUUUUAUAAUAUUUUGGUCUCUUAUGCUCAACAAGGCUGCAUUUAUUUGAUCAAAAA
Megalobrama amblycephala (Wuchang bream) is the source of this 1614-nucleotide long non-coding RNA. RefSeq lists it as uncharacterized. The record is from RefSeq and is a predicted model, not a curated record. The transcript is spliced from 5 exons. NCBI's taxonomy places the organism in Eukaryota, Metazoa, Chordata, Actinopteri, Cypriniformes, Xenocyprididae.